RNAcentral lists this ribosomal RNA (400 nucleotides) under uncultured bacterium. RNAcentral describes it as "bacterial SSU rRNA". It matches the Rfam family "Bacterial small subunit ribosomal RNA", at positions 355 to 746 of the family's 1533-position model. The record is from RNAcentral.
UGGGGAAUAUUGCGCAAUGGGGGAAACCCUGACGCAGCAACGCCGCGUGAGUGAGGAAGGACUUCGGUCUGUAAAGCUCUGUUAAUGUAGAAAAAUGGCAGAUGGUCUAAUAGGCCGUUUGUUUGAUGGUAUACAUAGAGGAAGCACCGGCUAACUUCGUGCCAGCAGCCGCGGUAAUACGAAGGGUGCAAGCGUUGUUCGGAUUUAUUGGGCGUAAAGCGCGCGUAGGCGGGUUUGCAAGUCAGAUGUGAAAUCUCGGGGCUCAACCUCGAAACUGCGUCUGAAACUACAAGCCUAGAAUAUUGGAGAGGGAAGGGGAAUUUCACAUGUAGGGGUAAAAUCCGUAGAGAUGUGAAGGAACACCAGAGGCGAAAGCGCCUUCCUGGCCAGUGAUUGACGC